Molecule: ribosomal RNA, 397 nt
Filed under: uncultured bacterium
Lineage: Bacteria
Description: partial 16S ribosomal RNA
Rfam family: Bacterial small subunit ribosomal RNA
Source: RNAcentral
AUACGUAGGGGGCGAGCGUUGUCCGGAAUGAUUGGGCGUUGAGGGCGCGUAGGCGGCCCGGUAAGUCUGGAGUGAAAGUCCUGUUUUUAAGAUGGGAAUUGCUUUGGAUACUGUCGGGCUUGAGUGCAGGAGAGGUAAGUGGAAUUCCCAGUGUAGCGGUGAAAUGCGUAGAGAUUGGGAGGAACACCAGUGGCGAAGGCGACUUACUGGACUGUAACUGACGCUGAGGCGCGAAAGUGUAGGGAGCAAACAGGAUUAGAUACCCUGGUAGUCCACACUGUAAACGAUGAAUGCUAGGUGUAGGGGGUAUCGACCCCUUCUGUGCCGCAGUCAACACAAUAAGCAUUCCGCCUGGGGAGUACGGCCGCAAGGUUGAAACUCAAAGGAAUUGGCGGGG